Long non-coding RNA from Lathyrus oleraceus (garden pea), 360 nucleotides. RefSeq lists it as uncharacterized. The record is from RefSeq and is a predicted model, not a curated record. Lineage: Eukaryota; Viridiplantae; Streptophyta; Magnoliopsida; Fabales; Fabaceae. The transcript has 2 exons.
UUGUUUUCCUUCUCUCUCUGAACCUUGGUAUGUAUUUUGAUUGAAUCACAGGGAGAAAGAAUUAGCCGCUGUUAAGAUAAAUGCAGCAGAUGUUGAUAUAAUUGCAAACGAACUAGAGUUGGACAAAAAGGUGGCUGAAAGAACCCUGCGUGAGCAUAAAGGUGAUGCUGUUGCUGCCAUUCGUCAUUUGCUUCACUAGUGUGGUAGAAACAAACAAGGGAAUAUGAUCUGUAUUGGCUUAUAUUUACUAUUUUGCAUUGAAAUUUGAAUCUCAAAUGUAUACUAUGAUGAUGAUGAUAUAGUUCAUUAGAAAUCUGAACUAUGAUGUUGAUGAUAUUGGAAUAAGCCUCACCCCCUCAA